Molecule: regulatory RNA element, 120 nt
Rfam family: PyrR binding site
About the family: This family represents the PyrR binding site and terminator structure. This RNA structure is found upstream of a variety of genes involved in pyrimidine biosynthesis and transport.
Source: Rfam
AAACCUUUUAACUAAGUCCUGAGAGGCUUAUAAGGGUGUCAGGCUUGAACCAGACUGAUUGGGAUGGUUUAGGCUAGAUUCAAUGCACCCUGAAGGAAAUUUUCAGGGUGCAUUUUUUAU